Molecule: ribosomal RNA, 492 nt
Filed under: uncultured bacterium
Lineage: Bacteria
Description: partial 16S ribosomal RNA
Rfam family: Bacterial small subunit ribosomal RNA
Source: RNAcentral
AGUGAACGCUGGCGGUAGGCCUAACACAUGCAAGUCGAACGGCAGCACAGUAAGAGCUUGCUCUUACGGGUGGCGGGUGGCGGACGGGUGAGGAAUACAUCGGAAUCUACUUUUUCGUGGGGGAUAACGUAGGGACACUUACGCUAAUACCGCAUACGACCUACGGGUGAAAGCAGGGGAUCUUCGGACCUUGCGCGAUUGAGUGAGCCGAUGUCGGAUUAGCUAGUUGGCGGGGUAAAGGCCCACCAAGGCGACGAUGCGUAGCUGGUCUGAGAGGAUGAUCAGCCACACUGGAACUGAGACACGGUCCAGACUCCUACGGGAGGCAGCAGUGGGGAAUAUUGGACAAUGGGCGCAAGCCUGAUCCAGCCAUACCGCGUGAGUGAAGAAGGCCUUCGGGUUGUAAAGCGCUUUUGUUGGGAAAGAAAAGCAGCAGGUUAAUACCCCGCUGUUCUGACGGUACCCAAAGAAUAAGCACCGGCUAACUUCGUG